This 474-nucleotide ribosomal RNA is filed under the name uncultured bacterium. RNAcentral describes it as "bacterial SSU rRNA". It matches the Rfam family "Bacterial small subunit ribosomal RNA", at positions 335 to 802 of the family's 1533-position model. The record is from RNAcentral.
ACUCCUACGGGAGGCAGCAGUGGGGAAUUUUGGACAAUGGGGGAAACCCUGAUCCAGCCAUCCCGCGUGUGCGAUGAAGGCCUUCGGGUUGUAAAGCACUUUUGGCAGGAAAGAAACGGCUCCGGAUAAUACCUGGAGCAACUGACGGUACCUGCAGAAUAAGCACCGGCUAACUACGUGCCAGCAGCCGCGGUAAUACGUAGGGUGCAAGCGUUAAUCGGAAUUACUGGGCGUAAAGCGUGCGCAGGCGGUUCGGAAAGAAAGAUGUGAAAUCCCAGAGCUUAACUUUGGAACUGCAUUUUUAACUACCGAGCUAGAGUGUGUCAGAGGGAGGUGGAAUUCCGCGUGUAGCAGUGAAAUGCGUAGAUAUGCGGAGGAACACCGAUGGCGAAGGCAGCCUCCUGGGACAACACUGACGCUCAUGCACGAAAGCGUGGGGAGCAAACAGGAUUAGAUACCCUGGUAGCGUCGUCU